This 497-nucleotide ribosomal RNA is filed under the name uncultured bacterium. RNAcentral describes it as "partial 16S ribosomal RNA". It matches the Rfam family "Bacterial small subunit ribosomal RNA", at positions 28 to 507 of the family's 1533-position model. The record is from RNAcentral.
GAUGAACGCUGGCGGCGUGCCUAAUACAUGCAAGUCGAGCGAACGGACGAGAAGCUUGCUUCUCUGAUGUUAGCGGCGGACGGGUGAGUAACACGUGGAUAACCUACCUAUAAGACUGGGAUAACUUCGGGAAACCGGAGCUAAUACCGGAUAAUAUUUUGAACCGCAUGGUUCAAAAGUGAAAGACGGUCUUGCUGUCACUUAUAGAUGGAUCCGCGCUGCAUUAGCUAGUUGGUAAGGUAACGGCUUACCAAGGCAACGAUGCAUAGCCGACCUGAGAGGGUGAUCGGCCACACUGGAACUGAGACACGGUCCAGACUCCUACGGGAGGCAGCAGUAGGGAACCUUCCGCAAUGGGCGAAAGCCUGACGGAGCAACGCCGCGUGAGUGAUGAAGGUCUUCGGAUCGUAAAACUCUGUUAUUAGGGAAGAACAUAUGUGUAGGUAACUGUGCACAUCUUGACGGUACCUAAUCAGAAAGCCACGGCUAACUACGUG